This 263-nucleotide ribosomal RNA is filed under the name uncultured archaeon. RNAcentral's name for it is "partial 16S ribosomal RNA". It matches the Rfam family "Archaeal small subunit ribosomal RNA", at positions 748 to 1008 of the family's 1478-position model. The record is from RNAcentral.
CAGCCGUAAACUAUGCGCGUUAGGUGUAUCGGUGACCACGAGUUACCGAGGUGCCGAAGGGAAACCGUGAAACGUGCCGCCUGGGAAGUACGGUCGCAAGGCUGAAACUUAAAGGAAUUGGCGGGGGGAGCACAACAACGGGUGGAGCCUGCGGUUUAAUUGGGACUCAACGCCGGACAACUCACCGGGAACGACAGCAAUAUGUAGGCCAGGCUGAAGACCUUGCCUGAAUCGCUGAGAGGAGGUGCAUGGCGUCAGUGACU